UUUUGUGAAUUGAAACAUCUCAGUAACAAAAGAAUAGAAAUCAAACGAGAUUCCGUAAGUAGUGGCGAAUGAAAGCGGACAAGCCUUUUAACAAAAAAACAAUUAAGUUUAAACCAAAGAGGGUUCAAGUCCCGUAAGUUGUUUAAUUUGUUAUUUUUUAGUAAACUUAAAAAUGUUAGUUAAGUUGAACAUAGGAGAACCAUCUUCUCAGGCUAAAUAAAUUGUAUUGAUCGUUAGCGUAUAAGUACCGUGAGGGAAAGACUUAAAUUUAAAUGCUGAUAAACAGUAGGAGUAGUAUUUUACUAUGACUGCGUACUUUUUGUAUAACGGACCAGAGAGUUUAAAAGUUGAGCAAGCUUAAGCUUAAAAAGUGUAGGCGCAGUGAAAGCAAACUUUAAAAAGUUAUAGUUCAGUUUUUAAGACCCGAAACCAAAUGAUCUAACCAUGGCCAAGGUGAAGGUAAAUGAGAAUUUACUGGAGGCCUGAACUUGUACCUGUUGCAGUAGGUUAAGACGAGCCGUGGUUAGGGGUGAAAGGCUAAUCAAAUUUGGAGUUAGCUGGUUUUCUGCGAAAUUUAUUUAGGUAAAGCGUACUUUUAUUUUUUGUGUGGGGUAGAGUACUUUUUAAAAAAAGGGGAGUAAAAUCUUACUGACUUUAAAAAAACUCCGAAUACGCACAAAUUUUUUAGUGCAGACAGACUUUGAGCAAUAAGGUUCUAGGUCGAAAGGGAAACAGCCCAGACUAAUAAAUAAGGCCCUUAAACCUUUUUUAGUGCAAAAAACAGUUGACAAUCAAUGACAGUUGAGAGGUAGGCUUGGAAGCAGCCAUCCUUUAAAGAAAGCGUAGUAGCUCAAGAACUGAGAUUUUUAGCGUUGAAGAUGUACGGGACUUAAAAAAGGUGCCGAAUUUGUAGCAGCAAGUUAAAUUACUUGCUGGGUAGCAGAACGUUUUGUAACAAUAAGCUUAGUUGUAAAAUUAAGCUGCAAGUAUCAAAAGCGAAAAUUCUGGUAUGAGUAACGUUAAUUUGUUACAAAAAAUAACAAACGCCGUAAGCUGAAGGUUUCUUACGCAAAUGUUCGACAUCGUAAGGUUAACCGGUUUCUAAGCUUUGAAAUGAAAAUUUUAAGCGAUGA
Molecule: ribosomal RNA, 1133 nt
Filed under: Schizochytrium aggregatum
Lineage: Eukaryota; Bigyra; Thraustochytrida; Thraustochytriidae
Description: partial Bacterial large subunit ribosomal RNA
Rfam family: Bacterial large subunit ribosomal RNA
Source: RNAcentral